Nycticebus coucang (slow loris) is the source of this 627-nucleotide long non-coding RNA. RefSeq lists it as uncharacterized. NCBI's taxonomy places the organism in Eukaryota, Metazoa, Chordata, Mammalia, Primates, Lorisidae. The transcript has 3 exons. The record is from RefSeq and is a predicted model, not a curated record.
GGAACGCUGGGCGGCCGGCUGGGCUGCGCGCUCCCGCGGCUUGGGUGGGGAUUGGCUCUUGGACCACCCCUUGGGAUCCCACCGAGAUCGCGGUAAAAGUGGUGAUGGAGUCUUGCUAUUCCUCAAGCUGGUCUCAAACUCCUGAGCUCAUCAGAUCUCCCUGCCUCAGCUUCCCAGAGUGCUGGGAUUAUAGGCGUGAGUCACCGCACCAGGCCUAGUUUUACUAUCUUCAUUCAACAGUCAAGACAAAUGGGCAAAGCAGAUAUCAAGAAAAGAGAAGAAUUUGAGAAGGGCUGGUCUAUAUUUAGCACAGCUUGAUGACCCAAAGGCCAGAUGGCAACAAAGGAAGAAGAAGAGGUUUGGAUGCUGGGGAUGGAGGUGGCCUCAGACCGGACUCUUAGGGAAGAACGCUGGGGCUCCCGGCCUUUGGAGAUCUGGGGACUACAACUAUUUUUCAUCCUUGAGUUUGCCUUUAGGAUUUCUGCAUGUCUUCUAAAGAAACUUUCCUUUUUCUAUUUUUAAGCAGUCAAUUCCACCAAACACAUUUUAACUUUUGAUUUGAAAUCAAGAGUUUCUUUCCUCAUAAUUUUUGUUUAUUCAGAAGAACCAUAAGUUUUGAUUAUCUCU